ACUACCUACGGGGGGCAGCAGUGGGGAAUAUUGCACAAUGGGGGAAACCCUGAUGCAGCGACGCCGCGUGAGUGAGGAAGUAUUUCGGUAUGUAAAGCUCUAUCAGCAGGGAAGAAAAUGACGGUACCUGACUAAGAAGCCCCGGCUAACUACGUGACAGCAGCCGCGGUAAUACGCAGGGGGCAAGCGUUAUCCGGAAUUACUGGGUGUAAAGGGAGUGUAGGCGGGAAAGCAAGACAGAAGUGGAAA
RNAcentral lists this ribosomal RNA (249 nucleotides) under uncultured bacterium. Its description in RNAcentral is "partial 16S ribosomal RNA". It matches the Rfam family "Bacterial small subunit ribosomal RNA", at positions 335 to 600 of the family's 1533-position model. The record is from RNAcentral.